AUGACUGGUUUCAUGGAUGGCUAUACUCGGUGGAUAAUUGAAGAUGAGGAUGAUGAUGUUGAGGACGCCGACGGGGCAGCCAAUGACGACACUGGGCAAGACGAAGAGAUGAUUGAUAAUGGCGGUGGGGAAGAGGCCAGACAUGGCGGUAGAGAAGGGGCCGGACAUGGCGGAGGAGAAGGGGUUGGACAUGUCGGCGGAGAGAACAUGGACUCCAUGCAGCAGAGUUCGUCGGUACUAAGUUCAAUUGUGCGGGACCCUCAUGUUCAAGCACUGCUUCGCAAGGAGACAAGUACUGAGAGAGCUGCUUCUAGAGAGGAGGCUAAGCUGGAGCAACGGGUGGUAGACUCGAACACUCCAUUGUAUGAUGGUUGCAAUCCUGAGGUGACCCGCUUGAGUUUCACGCUCCAACUCCUGAAGACGAAGGCUAAAAACAAAUGGACCGACACUAGCCUCGAUGAGCAUCUCAAGUACCUAAAGGAUGUUCUUCCCGCGGGGAAUCUAUGUCCUACUAGUGUUGAUGAGGCCAAGAAGAUCGUGUGCCCUCUUGAUCUGCCGCAUGUUAGAUACCAUGCAUGCAUCAACGAUUGCAUAAUUUAUCGGAAGGAGCACGCGGAAAAAACAAGCUGUCCGGUGUGCAAUGCUUCUCGAUACAAGAAGGCCGGGAAGAAAUGUCCCUAG
RNAcentral lists this ribosomal RNA (681 nucleotides) under Triticum aestivum (bread wheat). RNAcentral's name for it is "partial small subunit ribosomal RNA". Lineage: Eukaryota; Viridiplantae; Streptophyta; Magnoliopsida; Poales; Poaceae. The record is from RNAcentral.